RNAcentral lists this ribosomal RNA (407 nucleotides) under uncultured bacterium. Its description in RNAcentral is "bacterial SSU rRNA". It matches the Rfam family "Bacterial small subunit ribosomal RNA", at positions 355 to 776 of the family's 1533-position model. The record is from RNAcentral.
UGGGGAAUAUUGGGCAAUGGAGGAAACUCUGACCCAGCAACGCCGCGUGAAGGAUGAAGGCCCUCGGGUUGUAAACUUCUGUAUUAUGGGAAGAAGAUAGUGACGGUACCAUAAUAGAAAGCUUCGGCAAACUACGUGCCAGCAGCCGCGGUAAGACGUAGGAAGCAAGCGUUGUCCGGAAUGACUGGGCGUAAAGGGUGCGUAGGCGGUUUUUUAAGUCUGAUGUGAAAUCCUGUGGCUCAACCACAGAACUGCAUCAGAUACUGGGAAGCUAGAGUGCGGAAGAGGUUGACGGAAUUACUAGUGUAGCGGUAGAAUGCGUAGAUAUUAGUAAGAAGACCAGAGGCGAAGGCGGUCAACUGGGACGUAACUGACGCUGAGGCACGAAAGCGUGGGGAGCAAACAGG